ACGAACGCUGGCGGCGUGCUUAACACAUGCAAGUCGAACGGAAAGGCCCUGCUUUUGUGGGGUGCUCGAGUGGCGAACGGGUGAGUAACACGUGAGUAACCUGUCCUUGACUUUGGGAUAACUUCAGGAAACUGGGGCUAAUACCGGAUAGGAGCUCCUGCUGCAUGGUGGGGGUUGGAAAGUUUCGGCGGUUGGGGAUGGACUCGCGGCUUAUCAGCUUGUUGGUGGGGUAGUGGCUUACCAAGGCUUUGACGGGUAGCCGGCCUGAGAGGGUGACCGGCCACAUUGGGACUGAGAUACGGCCCAGACUCCUACGGGAGGCAGCAGUGGGGAAUAUUGCACAAUGGGCGGAAGCCUGAUGCAGCAACGCCGCGUGCGGGAUGACGGCCUUCGGGUUGUAAACCGCUUUCGCCUGUGACGAAGCGUGAGUGACGGUAAUGGGUAAAGAAGCACCGGCUAACUACGUG
This 467-nucleotide ribosomal RNA is filed under the name uncultured bacterium. RNAcentral describes it as "partial 16S ribosomal RNA". It matches the Rfam family "Bacterial small subunit ribosomal RNA", at positions 29 to 507 of the family's 1533-position model. The record is from RNAcentral.